GGAAAGUUGCAAAGCACUUUGAAGAGAGAGUUAAACAGGACGUGAAACCGAUGAGGUGGAAACGGACAGAGUCGGCGUAUCUAGCCUGUAUUCAACUGGAGACCCAAGCACAUUGGGUAGGCCUUUUCCAGAUUGGACAGGCAGAUCCAACUGUUUGGGAGUGUACAGUGCAUUUGCAAGUGGAGUGCGCUGAGGUGGUCGGGUUAGCUGCGUGAUCUCGGGUUUGAGGCCAGCCCCUCGGGGUAUGGUACCCGGCUCGGGGGAGUGCUGUUUAGCCUCUUCAACUUGUAUGGAAAUGGUAUCGGGUCCGGCUGGUAUCCAGCUAACAACUGGUGGCGGUCGCAUGCGACACGUACUAGUGGUUGGUUGGGUCUCGGUCUGGCUCCCAUGUUUUCCAAUCCUCGGUGUAAAAACCGGUCAUCUGUCCGACCCGUCUUGAAACACGGACCAAGGAGUUUAGCGUGUGCGCGAGUCAUUGGGUGUUGGAAACCCAAAGGCGCAAUGAAAGUGAAGGUCUCUCUUGUGGAGCUGAUGUGUGACCCGGGUCACCGAGGUGGCCCGGAGCAACAUGGUCCCGUCCUGAUCGCUUGCGAUGGGGCGGAGACAGAGCGUACGCGCUGAGACCCGAAAGAUGGUGAACUAUUCCUGAGCAGGACGAAGCCAGAGGAAACUCUGGUGGAAGUCCGAAG
Molecule: ribosomal RNA, 689 nt
Filed under: Rotylenchulus reniformis
Lineage: Eukaryota; Metazoa; Nematoda; Chromadorea; Rhabditida; Hoplolaimidae
Description: partial large subunit ribosomal RNA
Rfam family: Eukaryotic large subunit ribosomal RNA
Source: RNAcentral